Molecule: non-coding RNA, 375 nt
Organism: Carassius carassius (crucian carp)
Lineage: Eukaryota; Metazoa; Chordata; Actinopteri; Cypriniformes; Cyprinidae
Source: the annotation of a RefSeq genome assembly
AUGAAUCUCUUCAGCAGCUUCAUCUGGAUUCUGACAGCUUUUCUUCCAGUGGCAUCCAGAGGAAUCAGUGUGACUCAGCCUGAAGCUGUGACUGUUUCUGAAGGAGAAACCGCCACUAUAGAGUGUAAAACUGAUCGAGGAGUAAAUGGCUGGGGUUUGUCUUGGUAUCAGCAGAAACCUGGAGAAACUCCUAAACUCAUCAUUUAUCUGAUAAAAAGUCUUUAUGAUGAGUAUUUCAAUCAGUUCAGUGCAAAUGGAAAAUAUAGUGGGACAGAUUUCACUUUGACUGUCAGUGGAGUCCAGACUGAAGAUGCUGGACUUUAUUACUGUCAGAGUGAAUACAAGAUCAACAACAAGUAUGUGUUCACACAGUGA